Long non-coding RNA from Eptesicus fuscus (big brown bat), 1550 nucleotides. RefSeq lists it as uncharacterized. The transcript is spliced from 5 exons. The record is from RefSeq and is a predicted model, not a curated record. NCBI's taxonomy places the organism in Eukaryota, Metazoa, Chordata, Mammalia, Chiroptera, Vespertilionidae.
GGCCCCGAGGUGGGCGGGCUGCGCCAGGCCGUCCCGCAGGCUCCCUGCCCGGCCGGCUCGGGGACGGGACGGGGAUCGCUUCCCGACCCGGACCCGUGGGCCCGUGUUCGGUUCGGCCUCGCGGGACCGUUUCUCGGUCUGAUCCGCUCGAGCGCCGACCUGGACUCGGGGGCGGUCACCCCAGCGCCGAGCGAGCGGCCGGUUCUCCGGAAACGCGUUCAGGAUAUAAGAUCCCUGUCAUCGAGGAUCUGGGUGCGACCUUAGACCAGUUCGAUGCCAUUGAUUUUUCUGACAAUGAAAUGCAGAAACUGGAGGCUUCCCUCGCGGAGGAGACUGAAGACCCUCCUGGUGAACAACAACCGGACAUGGGUGACCUGGACCCACCGGCGUCGCUCAAGUCGCUGACCUACCCGAGGUAGGAGAUGACCCGGUGACAGUGAGUCCCUUACAACAACUCCCUGCCCGGCCUCGACCUUACCAGCCAGGAGGACAACGGAAUGCUGAAUGGAACUGGAACUGGGAAAGCCUUGCGCGGGGCAGCUGCAUUCCCGACUGUGAGCCAGGCACCUACUUCGACUCGGAGCUGAUCCGAUGCGGGCAGUGCCACCCCACCUGCAGGACCUGCGUGGGCCGCACUUCCGGGACUGGACGUGUGUGCCCGCCUGUGGCGAUGGCUACUACCCCGAGGCGAUGCCCGGCCUCCCCACAGAGUCUGCCGGAGGUACGUGCCGCCCGACCGUCCUUCGAUCUACACCCGCCGGCCUCAUCCCUCCGGCGCACCCCAAUGGGAACCCCCACGUUUACCGAAUCUUCAGACCAAAGCGGAGCAUCAAGCACGUAGCCUCCCCGUCACGUCACGCCGGGCUCCUAGCAUCUCCAAGGUCAACCUCAGUCGCACCGGAUCCCGCUGGCGGGACGGGCCUUCCACACGCGUGAUGAGGGGCCCAGCUGCCCGUGUCCAUCCACCAGGACUGUGCGCCAGACGGCACCCGGGACCUCCUGCUGCCAAACCUGUGUCAGGCACGUGGAUCAGCUGCCCGCUCCGGUUCUCACCCAGGGGGGUCCUGUGGACAGAGCCCCAAUAUUUUCCUGGAAAUGCACCGAUCGGCUCCCAGGAACUAGAGUAACCUUUGCUUUAAAGUUUCUCUCGAGCUUGUACGUGUCCGUUGUUUCCGGCUCCCCCCUCGGACCAUCAUGCAUCUGACAUGUCUCGGGGAGCAGGGGGAGCCCCCCACAGGAGUGAAUAGAAAUCAUGAAACAUAGGGAGACGCCCUCAGAGCAAAUGCAGUGUUAAUCCUAAGUUAAUAAAAGAGUUAACAGCCCACAGCCAAGGACUCUUUCUUUCCUGGGCACAGCGAUGACACCUGGGUGCUGCUGGCCGGUGUGGCUCAGUGGUUGAGCUUUGACCGGGAGGUCACAGGUCCGAUUCCUGGUUCGAAGCUCCAUCCUCAGUGUGGGGGUGCAGGAGACAGCCGAUCAGUGAUUCUCAUCAUGGAUGUUUUUCUUUCUAUCCCUCUCCCUUCCUCUCUGUAAAAAUAAAAUAAAAUAUA